AUUGAACGCUGGCGGCAUGCUUUACACAUGCAAGUCGAACGGUAACAGGCCGCAAGGUGCUGACGAGUGGCGAACGGGUGAGUAAUGCAUCGGAACGUGCACAGUCGUGGGGGAUAACUACUCGAAAGAGUAGCUAAUACCGCAUACGAUCUAUGGAUGAAAGCGGGGGACCGUAAGGCCUCGCGCGAUUGGAGCGGCCGAUGUCAGAUUAGGUAGUUGGUGGGGUAAAGGCUCACCAAGCCAACGAUCUGUAGCUGGUCUGAGAGGACGACCAGCCACACUGGGACUGAGACACGGCCCAGACUCCUACGGGAGGCAGCAGUGGGGAAUUUUGGACAAUGGGCGCAAGCCUGAUCCAGCAAUGCCGCGUGCAGGAAGAGGGCCUUCGGGUUGUAAACUGCUUUUGUACGGAACGAAACGGCUCUGGUUAAUACCCGGGGCUAAUGACGGUACCGUAAGAAUAAGCACCGGCUAACUACGUG
Molecule: ribosomal RNA, 482 nt
Filed under: uncultured bacterium
Lineage: Bacteria
Description: partial 16S ribosomal RNA
Rfam family: Bacterial small subunit ribosomal RNA
Source: RNAcentral